Molecule: ribosomal RNA, 312 nt
Filed under: Triticum aestivum (bread wheat)
Lineage: Eukaryota; Viridiplantae; Streptophyta; Magnoliopsida; Poales; Poaceae
Description: partial small subunit ribosomal RNA
Source: RNAcentral
AUGCCGCGCAACCUUCGCCGGUAUCAUGCACCCAUUAUUUACCUUCCUCAAAACAGCCACCAUACCUACUUAUUAUGGCAUUUCCAUAGCCAUUCCGAGAUAUAUUGCCAUGCAACUUUCCACUGUUCCAUUUAUUAUGACAUGGUCCAUCAUUUUCAUAUUGCUUUGCAUGAUUGUAAGAUAGCUAGCAUGAUGUUUUCAUGGCUUGUCCGUUUUUUUGAUGUCAUUGCUACUCUAGAUCAUUGCAUAUCCCGGUACACCGCCGGAGGCAUUCAUAUAGAUUCAUAUCUUUGUUGUAAUAUUGAGUUGUAA